UACGAAGGGUGCAAGCGUUAUUCGGAAUUACUGGGCGUAAAGCGUGCGUAGGCGGUUUGUUAAGUCCGUUGUGAAAGCCCUGGGCUCAACCUGGGAAUUGCAGUGGAUACUGGCGAGCUAGAGUGCGGUAGAGGAUGGUGGAAUUCCCGGUGUAGCGGUGAAAUGCGUAGAGAUCGGGAGGAACACCCGUGGCGAAGGCGGCCAUCUGGACCAGAACUGACGCUGAGGCACGAAAGCGUGGGGAGCAAACAGG
Molecule: ribosomal RNA, 253 nt
Filed under: uncultured bacterium
Lineage: Bacteria
Description: partial 16S ribosomal RNA
Rfam family: Bacterial small subunit ribosomal RNA
Source: RNAcentral